This 427-nucleotide ribosomal RNA is filed under the name uncultured prokaryote. Its description in RNAcentral is "bacterial SSU rRNA". It matches the Rfam family "Bacterial small subunit ribosomal RNA", at positions 355 to 796 of the family's 1533-position model. The record is from RNAcentral.
UGGGGAAUUUUCCGCAAUGGGCGCAAGCCUGACGGAGCAAUACCGCGUGAGGGAGGAAGGCUUUUGGGUUGUAAACCUCUUUUAUUAAGGAAGAAGAAAGUGACGGUACUUAAAGAAUCAGCAUCGGCUAACUCCGUGCCAGCAGCCGCGGUAAUACGGAGGAUGCAAGCGUUAUCCGGAAUUAUUGGGCGUAAAGCGUCCGCAGGUGGCUCUUCAAGUCUGCUGUUAAAGACAGAAGCUUAACUUCUGAGAGGCGGUGGAAACUGGGGAGCUUGAGUACGGUAGGGGUUGAGGGAAUUCCCAGUGUAGCGGUGAAAUGCGUAGAGAUUGGGAAGAACACCAGUGGCGAAGGCGCUCAACUGGACCGUAACUGACACUCAGGGACGAAAGCUAGGGGAGCGAAAGGGAUUAGAUACCCCCGUAGUCC